UACGGGGGGAGCAAGCGUUGUUCGGAUUUACUGGGCGUAAAGGGCGCGUAGGCGGCCAGCACAAGUCAGUUGUGAAAUCUCCGAGCUUAACUCGGAAAGGUCAACUGAUACUGUGCGGCUAGAGUGCGGAAGGGGCAACUGGAAUUCUUGGUGUAGCGGUGAAAUGCGUAGAUAUCAAGAGGAACACCUGCGGCGAAGGCGGGUUGCUGGGCCGACACUGACGCUGAGGCGCGAAAGCCAGGGGAGCGAACCGG
This 254-nucleotide ribosomal RNA is filed under the name uncultured bacterium. Its description in RNAcentral is "partial 16S ribosomal RNA". It matches the Rfam family "Bacterial small subunit ribosomal RNA", at positions 524 to 776 of the family's 1533-position model. The record is from RNAcentral.